Molecule: ribosomal RNA, 428 nt
Filed under: uncultured Methylococcaceae bacterium
Lineage: Bacteria; Pseudomonadati; Pseudomonadota; Gammaproteobacteria; Methylococcales; Methylococcaceae
Description: bacterial SSU rRNA
Rfam family: Bacterial small subunit ribosomal RNA
Source: RNAcentral
UGGGGAAUAUUGGACAAUGGGCGCAAGCCUGAUCCAGCAAUACCGCGUGUGUGAAGAAGGCCCUAGGGUUGUAAAGCACUUUCAAUUGGGAGGAAAACCUGCCGGUCAAUACCCGGUAGCUUGACAUUACCUUUAGAAGAAGCACCGGCUAACUCCGUGCCAGCAGCCGCGGUAAUACGGAGGGUGCAAGCGUUAAUCGGAAUUACUGGGCGUAAAGCGUGCGUAGGCGGUUCGUUAAGUCAGAUGUGAAAGCCCCGGGCUUAACCUGGGAACUGCAUUUGAAACUGGCGGACUAGAGUUGAGUAGAGGGGAGUGGAAUUUCAGGUGUAGCGGUGAAAUGCGUAGAUAUCUGAAGGAACACCAGUGGCGAAGGCGACUCCCUGGACUCAAACUGACGCUGAGGUACGAAAGCGUGGGUAGCAAACAGG